Molecule: ribosomal RNA, 808 nt
Filed under: Amblyops abbreviatus
Lineage: Eukaryota; Metazoa; Arthropoda; Malacostraca; Mysida; Mysidae
Description: SSU rRNA
Rfam family: Eukaryotic small subunit ribosomal RNA
Source: RNAcentral
AUAUAAAGUUGUUGCGGUUAAAAAGCUCGUAGUUGGAUCUCAGUUCCGGAUCGACGGUUCGCCUCUGGCGAUUUACUGUCGGUCCGAACAGCUCGUCGGCUCACUCGGGGUGCUCUUCAUCGAGUGUCUCGCGUGGCCGGCACGUUUACUUUGAAAAAAUUAGAGUGCUCAAAGCAGGCCUACCGCCUGAAUAGUUGUGCAUGGAAUAAUGGAAUAGGACCUCGGUUCUAUUUUGUUGGUUUUCGGAACCCGAGGUAAUGAUUAAUAGAGACGGACGGGGGCAUUCGUAUUGCGACGCUAGAGGUGAAAUUCUUGGACCGUCGCAAGACGAACCACUGCGAAAGCAUUUGCCAAGAACGUUCUCAUUAAUCAAGAACGAAAGUUAGAGGUUCGAAGGCGAUCAGAUACCGCCCUAGUUCUAACCAUAAACGAUGCUGACUAGCGAUCCGUCUGUGUUAAUCCCAUGACUAGACGGGCAGCUUCCGGGAAACCAAAGUCUUUGAGUUCCGGGGGAAGUAUGGUUGCAAAGCUGAAACUUAAAGGAAUUGACGGAAGGGCACCACCAGGAGUGGAGCCUGCGGCUUAAUUUGACUCAACACGGGGAACCUCACCAGGCCCGGACACCGGAAGGAUUGACAGAUUGAGAGCUCUUUCUUGAUUCGGUGGGUGGUGGUGCAUGGCCGUUCUUAGUUGGUGGAGCGAUUUGUCUGGUUAAUUCCGAUAACGAACGAGACUCUAGCCUGCUAACUAGUCGGAGGGUCUUAUACAAGUGCCCUCCGCAGCUUCUUAGAGGGAUAAGCGGCAUCUA